Molecule: ribosomal RNA, 433 nt
Filed under: uncultured bacterium
Lineage: Bacteria
Description: partial 16S ribosomal RNA
Rfam family: Bacterial small subunit ribosomal RNA
Source: RNAcentral
AACGAACGCUGGCGGCAUGCCUAACACAUGCAAGUCGAACGAGACCUUCGGGUCUAGUGGCGCACGGGUGCGUAACGCGUGGGAAUCUACCCUCAGGUUCGGAAUAACUCAGAGAAAUUUGAGCUAAUACCGGAUGAUGACGUAAGUCCAAAGAUUUAUCGCCUGAGGAUGAGCCCGCGUAGGUUUAGGUAGUUGGUGAGGUAAAGGCUCACCAAGCCGACGAUCCUUAGCUGGUCUGAGAGGAUGAUCAGCCACACUGGGACUGAGACACGGCCCAGACUCCUACGGGAGGCAGCAGUGGGGAAUAUUGGACAAUGGGCGAAAGCCUGAUCCAGCAAUGCCGCGUGAGUGAUGAAGGCCUUAGGGUUGUAAAGCUCUUUUACCCGGGAUGAUAAUGACAGUACCGGGAGAAUAAGCUCCGGCUAACUCCGUG